Molecule: non-coding RNA, 3241 nt
Organism: Cicer arietinum (chickpea)
Lineage: Eukaryota; Viridiplantae; Streptophyta; Magnoliopsida; Fabales; Fabaceae
Source: RefSeq, a predicted model, not a curated record
UCAACUUGGAUUAUUGAUUCGGGUGCUUCAUACCAUGUUAUUCCUAUGCGUGAUUGCUUCUCAUCUUAUAGUGUUGGUGAUUUUGGCAUGGAAAAAUGUGAGAUGAAGGAGUAUGAAAAAUUAUCGGUAUGAAAGAUGUUUGGGUUGAAAUUGGGAUUGGUUGCAAGUUUCAAUUGAAGAAUGUUAGACAUGUUCCUAAUAUUCGUAUCAAUUUAAUUUUGGUGAAAGCCUUGGAUAUGGAGGGUUAUCACAUUUACUUUGGUGGUGGUAUAUGUAAAAUCACCAAAGGGUCUCUAGUGAUUGCAAAGGAGCAAAGUUCCACUUCUCUCUAUAGGAUACCUAUGAAGCUAUGCAAGGAAAAAGUGAAUGCAAUUGAAGACGCUUCUUUUGAUUUAUGGCAUAUGUGCCUUAGUCACUUGAGUGAGAAAGGACUUUAUAUACUUGCAAAGAAAAAUUUUCUUUUGUGAAAGGUACGUCUCUAAAAAUUUGCACUCAUUGUUUUGCUGGAAAACAACAUAGAGUCUCUUUUCAUAAUAUUGAUUCUCACAGGAGGCAAAAUAUUUUUGAUUGAGUUCAUAUUGAUGUUUGCAUGAUGGAUAGUAAAUCUCUUGGUGGUGCAUCAUAUUUUGUUACUUUUAUUGACGACCACUCUAGAAAAGGGUGGACAUUUCCUUUGAAAUCUAAAGACUAGGUACUAAGGGAAGGAAAUUAAAAUGUGUUUGAUCAAAUCACAGUGGUGAAUACAUAUGUUCAUUUGAAGAGUACUGUAGAGAACAUAGAAUCAAACUUGAGAAAACAAUUCCAAAGAUACCUCAACAUAAUGGUGUUGCAAAGAGAACAAAUCUUACAAUUAAUGACAUAAUCAGAUGUAUGCUCUGAUAAUUUGUUUACAAGAAGAUACACUUAUAAUUUGUUCACAAGAAAGACUCAGGAAAAAAAACUCAGAAAUCCAUACAAUUCAGAAAAACUUUUGAGAGCCCAAAUUUACUAAGUAUUCAAAAUUCAAUGGUUUAAGUUCUAGAGUAACACUUGCUCAAAGCAAUGUUUUCUAAGUGUUUUAGUUUGAGAAAUCAAUUGAAAAAAAUAUAUUUAGUAGAAGCAUAACACAAUCAGUUCCAAACUUGUGUAAGCUAGUCUGAUAGUUGCUUUAAUGUUCCUCAAGCAAUAUGUGGUUUUCAGGUUGUAUUGAGAAGACUUGAUUUGUAGGGUCAAGGUGUAGUUGCCUUCAACAAUAUGUGGUUUUUAGGUUCUGUGAAGACUUGACUUGUAAGGUAAAGGUGAUUGUUUGUCUCAAAAAGUCUGUAGGUGUCAGGUUGUUUUAUGAAGAUUGACUUGUAGGGUCAGGUGUUGUGUAAUUUAAGGAUUUGAAUUAGUGGUUAAAUCCUACUAAGUGAGGGGACUAGAUGUAACUACUAGAUUGGUGGUGAACCAAUAUCAAUCUACUUGUGUCACUUUACUUUUGCAGUUUUUACUUUACUGUUGCCUCUAAUUAUUUAAGCUUGAUUGCUAUUGCCUCUAUUUUAGUAAAAAUCACCAAAACCGAACUAGUUUUGAAUAAAUAACUAAAAAUAAUCCAACUUAGACAAACACAAUUCAACCCCCAUUCUCGUGUUUUUACCUUCAUGUUUAUCUUUGCAUUUUUGCCUCAUGAACUUUUUGAACUUAUGAACAAUUUGACCCAUAUCUUCCUUCAUUUUCAUCAUGAUUAUCACAAUCUUCUGAGUAACUUUCUAUGGUCUUUGCUUUCAAGGCAAGUCCUUUAUUUUUAUCUUCACCUUCACCACUUUCAACAAGUCAAUUUAGUUCGAGCUCACGUUCUUGCAAUUUAUCAAAGUAGCCAAAUCCAAGAUAAAUCUUUAGAUUUAGAAAUAGAGGCCACUUUGGGUCCACUGUGAUUCAAAUAUCUAAGAACAUUAUUAAUUAAAUCUUUCAAAGGAUUUCCCCAAAGUUAUAAGAUGGUUUACUAUAUGGAUGAAUUGUUUUUGCAUAUCUUGGAUGUUUUCUUUCGAUUGCAUCCUAAAUAGCUCAUACUCAUGAGUUAAUGUGUUCAUCCUAGCCUUUUGACUUAAGUAGUAUUUUCAUGGGUUGCUUGAAGGGUGUCCCACAUUUCCUUUUCGGUUUUACAAUGUGAAAUUCGAAAGAACUCAUCCAUGCUCAAGCCAAUGGUGAAUCUGGUGAUAAUGUUUUUUGCCUGCAAAUUGUAUUGAACCUUUUCUUUUUAAUCUUUGGUCCAGAGAUCUCUAGGUUUGUUUACCCCUACACCAUUGAUAAGAUGAGUAACAACAAAUCAACCCCUUUUAACAGCAAGCCAAAUAUCAUAAACACCUACUAUAAAAAAAAAUCUCUUUCCAAUAAUAGGGUCAGUUAAAGUAAUAAUUGUUUGAAGUCAUCUUGCCUCUUGAGACGAUUAGUCUUUACACAAGAGUUUAACUCUCAUGGCACUUGUUGAACAAAUGACUUCAAAACAAGAGGGGAGAUGAAUUGUAAACUUCGACAUCAUGCAAUAAACUAAGCAAUUAAAAUAAGUUACCAAAUGACUGAUAUUGGGCUCAUGUCAUACUACUUAGGCCUAUAAGUAAAGCAAUUGGAAGAAGGUAUAUUUAUUUCUCAAGAAAACUAUGCAAAGGAGGUUUUGAUGAAAUUUAAAAUGUUUGAUUAAAAUUCGAUGAACACACCAAUGGAGAGCAGAUUAAAUUUGUCAACAUUUGAAGAUGGACAAAAGGAGGACCCUUCUUUUUUCAAAAGCCCCGUGAAAGCCUAAGAUACUUAACAUGUACAAGGCCUUAUAUUCUAUAUGCGGUUGGAGUAGUGAAUUGUUUCAUGGAAGCUCCCACUACUACACACAUGAAAGUCACCAAGAGGAUACUCCGCUACGUUAAAGGGCAUCCAUGGAAACGGUUGAAGGUAAUGAAGAUCAUGUUGCUGAUGGGAAUGAAGAGUAUGUUUUUAAUGGAAGUACCAAUAACGAUUUAUGUGUUGGUGGUUCAAGAGUUAAUGAUGAUAGUCAAGAACCUUUCAUUGGACUAGAAUUUAGUCACAAGAAAAUGCUUGUUCAUUCUACUCUCAUUAUGCUAAAUCUAUUGAUUUGAAAUAUUUAUUACAACUAGUUGUUCAAAGAUUUCUAGCCAAUUUAUUGAUGUCAAAUAUGUUUGUACAAGAUAUGAAAAAACGAAAGCGUCCACUGCACAUAAUCCACAUCCUUGUUUGAAGGUGGAUUGUGAGGUAUCUUGGUAGAUAUUCA